Molecule: ribosomal RNA, 497 nt
Filed under: uncultured bacterium
Lineage: Bacteria
Description: partial 16S ribosomal RNA
Rfam family: Bacterial small subunit ribosomal RNA
Source: RNAcentral
GAUGAACGCUGGCGGCGUGCCUAAUACAUGCAAGUCGAGCGAACAGACGAGGAGCUUGCUCCUCUGACGUUAGCGGCGGACGGGUGAGUAACACGUGGAUAACCUACCUAUAAGACUGGGAUAACUUCGGGAAACCGGAGCUAAUACCGGAUAACAUGUUGAACCGCAUGGUUCAACAGUGAAAGACGGUUUUGCUGUCACUUAUAGAUGAAUCCGCGUCGCAUUAGCUAGUUGGUAAGGUAACGGCUUACCAAGGCAACGAUGCGUAGCCGACCUGAGAGGGUGAUCGGCCACACUGGAACUGAGACACGGUCCAGACUCCUACGGGAGGCAGCAGUAGGGAAUCUUCCGCAAUGGGCGAAAGCCUGACGGAGCAACGCCGCGUGAGUGAAGAAGGUCUUCGGAUCGUAAAACUCUGUUAUUAGGGAAGAACAAAUGUGUAAGUAACUAUGCACGUCUUGACGGUACCUAAUCAGAAAGCCACGGCUAACUACGUG